GCCCCCACGUGACCGCCAGCCCUCACGUUUCUGAAGUGUGUUCCCUGCGCGCGGAGGGAAGCGGCGGCGGGGUUGGCUCCGCCGCGGUGCGCUCGGCCCUGCUCCCGCAGGCGGGCAACCAGGGUAGCCAGCAGCUCCGGGGGGAAGCCCACUCGCCUGGGCAGCACGAGGGACCGGGCCGCGGCGGGGAGGGGCGCCGCGGGCGGAGACCAUCCCCCCCGCCUGUACGGGGCGCCGGGGACCCGGAUGAGCACGGGGCUCGGAGGAGGCUCAUGGAGGCACCACUACCUACCUAAAAGAUGCCGGCCUGGUGCAGGUUUUCUUAGGCUUUCUCUGGUAUUGGCCACUAGGUGAGAAGCACCCUACUGAGAGGACUCAGUAUAGCAAUUUCAAGACCCUGCAGAGCAGCUCUGUAUGCACUUCUGAAAGCAAACCUUCGCAUAUGAAUUGUAACUUAAUCUACAGCUUUAGUACUUUCCAUAAACAAGGGAAACAGCAAGAGGGAUCUCAUUAAAAAUAAUCACUCUAAAGUAAAAUGGACAUGCAGUUGCCGUACUUGCCUUCCUUGACUUCCAGAAUUCCAAAGUAGGAAAGUAUUUUAAAUCCAAUUUCUACUUUCUUUCUACUAAAGUAUUUCUUUCUACUUGUUCUUUCUACUAUUUUUUUUCUGCUUAGGUAUGGGAAAGUAAAACCUGAAGUCAGUAAAGAGAUACGCAUCAUGUGUUUCUCUUGAUGCUCUUCUUUCCUCAUCUUGAAUGACUUCAUAAAAUGUCAUUACUGAUUAAAGCAUGGUAACAGAAAAGGCCCCAACCAUGAUCAGAGUCCCUUGCAAAUUUGAUAUUGUACAAACUUUCUCUCUAAAAAGUGUGGUGGACCAACUUUUCUUAAGCAUUUGACUGUAACUUAACAGUAAUAUUAAUUAUUAUGAGGUUUUCCACUAUUAUUUUGUCACACACGUAACAUCAGAUUCCACAGCUCAUCAUUCUGCUCCAAGAGGAACCUGUGAGUUUCUUGCUUGUUUUUGUUUUUAAGAAACGUCAAAACUUUGUUGACUAAUUUUCAAAGAAAUGAAGUAGAAAUGAAUGAAAAAAAUCUCAGUAGUUAACAACCACUUCCCAUUAAAUUCCUUUUAAUUCUAUAAAAUUUGAGCACACUGAAGAAGAAAGUUUAUUUUCAAGGAAAAUCACCUCGCAAUAUAUUUUUUUUAUUUAAAAAUUUUAAACUGUUUUUCAUACCCCUCUAAGCUCAUUAGUGAGAAAUCUUGUGUCUUAUGUUCCGUCCUAGCUCCUUACAAGAGUGUGACACUGAGCAGCAAAGGACAGCCCUAAAGAAUGUCCAGUGCCAACAGAUCUGCCUUCUUCAAAAUGUUACAUUUAAAACUAUUAAAUUGAGGUGGAACCAACCCUCCCAUGUAGGAAUUUAUGGUUUCAUAACCGAAUUACAACCAUGAAAACCAUUACUCUCUAUAAGCUGUUUAUCACUGCAGAUUAAAUAACAACUGUAAUUAACAUAUCGUUACGUCAAAGCACUACUCAGCUCUAUCCAUACUUUCCAUUCUAGACUGAUUGUUUUUUAUUUAAAAAGUGGUAGGAAGGUGAGGAAUAUAUUAAUUAAAAUGUCAGAUCUCAAGGGAAGAGGUACUCUCUUCUAGUUAGUGAAAAAGAAAAAACAGAUUCAGAGUUAAUCAAGGAACUUGUACAAGUAAACCCCACUACUGUGUUCUCUUGUGGAUAACUUUUGAAAGAACAGCAUUGUUAAUUCAGCUAACUUAGCCCAGACUGUGAUAACAGAAAUCCAGAGAGUGGAGAGGAGAAGGAGUCAAAAGAGAAAAAAAGAGAAAAAAAAUGGAGGCAUGGAAGGACAAAAUAAAACUUCAAGGAGCAAACAUGAAAUACAUUGUGCGUUAAAAAGAAGAGUUUUUUAGAUCCAUGUUUCUUAACUCCAUUGCAUGCAAUUACGUCACUCAUAUUCACAAUUACUGUUAUUGAAACAGCAGUCAUGUAGGAAACUGAGCUUGAACAAGGUUUGUUGAGCAUACUUUCUUUCUAUAGCAAUUCUCCUUUUCAUACUUAGAUCUAAUACAGACUAUUGAAAAUGUAGCUGACAAAAGAAGUGUUUUCAAAGCGAACAGUCCUGCUUUUCACUCUUUGAAGUAUGUGAUUAUGCAGACCAGAGUUAAAUGCUUUUUAAAAAUGCUAAAAUGCCUGGAAAAAUUUGUCUAGUCUAUAAAUUAUUUGUGUCUUUGCCAAUUUUUUACUCUAAGUUUAGAUGUGACUAAAAAGGAGACCAGCAGAACAGAAUAAGAUACAGGAAGCAGAGUCUCAUCAUCACAGCUCAUUUAGCUUCUGAAACAACACUGACAAAACUGUUAAUCCAGUGACUACAUAUAUGAAUUUUAUUAUUUUAUUAGAGAUAAGUGCAGUAAUCAUAUGGAAGAAAAUAUACUGAUAUAAAAGAAGCUUUCAGUGUUUACAUCAUUGUUGUCUCUAAUCAAAAUUUGAUCCUGAAAAAAUUUUUCAGUGCGCUACUUUCCAAAAGAGUAGAAUAGUCUUUAUAGCAAACAUGUUUGGUAUCAGGAGCACUACUGCUUUUGAUCUCCUGAUUAAUGUAUGUGGUAGCUAUUGUGCUAUACAGGGUGCAAGUCCUCACUAACACUGUUAAUUGCAACAUAAUAAUACUUCAAAAAUGACAGAUUUUGAGUUAGUACACUAAUUCUUUCUUGAAAGCUGUUUAAAUCCAAACACCUCCUGGUAUGUCACUUUAAAACAUUUCUGAUCAUAAACUGUUUUAACAGGUGGAAGAAACUCAGGUGUUUUUACAUGAUAAAAAGACUGUAAUCCAAUUUACUUCACUCUGAUCAAGAACAGAGUGCAUGAACGCAUGAACUGUAACACCCUAAAUGCACAUCUGUAGGAUAGCAAAGUCCUUGUUUACUGCAAACUCAGAAUUAAAGUACAGCCACUUAAUAACCGUA
This is a long non-coding RNA of Dromaius novaehollandiae (emu), 2974 nucleotides long. RefSeq lists it as uncharacterized. The record is from RefSeq and is a predicted model, not a curated record. The transcript is spliced from 2 exons. NCBI's taxonomy places the organism in Eukaryota, Metazoa, Chordata, Aves, Casuariiformes, Dromaiidae.